RNAcentral lists this small nuclear RNA (112 nucleotides) under Canis lupus familiaris (dog). Its description in RNAcentral is "U2 spliceosomal RNA (multiple genes)". The stretch from base 1 to 91 matches the Rfam family "U2 spliceosomal RNA". From Rfam's summary of the family: U2 is a small nuclear RNA (snRNA) component of the spliceosome (involved in pre-mRNA splicing). Complementary binding between U2 snRNA (in an area lying towards the 5' end but 3' to hairpin I) and the branchpoint sequence (BPS) of the intron results the bulging out of an unpaired adenosine, on the BPS, which initiates a nucleophilic attack at the intronic 5' splice site, thus starting the first of two transesterification reactions that mediate splicing. Lineage: Eukaryota; Metazoa; Chordata; Mammalia; Carnivora; Canidae. The record is from RNAcentral.
AUUGCUUCUCAGCCUAUUGGCUAAGAUCGAGUGUAGUUUGUGUUCUUAUCAGUUUUAUAAUGCCAUUAUCAAUUUUUUAUCACAAGCCUAUGUUAAUUUCAUUGUACUAGUU